RNAcentral lists this long non-coding RNA (615 nucleotides) under Apteryx owenii (little spotted kiwi). RNAcentral's name for it is "lncRNA (ENSAOWG00000008455.1)". Lineage: Eukaryota; Metazoa; Chordata; Aves; Apterygiformes; Apterygidae. The record is from RNAcentral.
UGUUGCAGUCAAUGGAGAUGGCAAAGAAAAUUUUUCCCAAACGUUCAUAGGGAAGAAGACAGCUUAUUGGCUUCAAAAUAAAAAGGAGGACCUACAAAGGAGCUAAGAAAAUAGCCAGCUCUAAUAGUAUCUUCUGAAGCAUCAAAGCUGAGUGAUCAAGGACACAGCACUGGUCAAUAUUGCCAGAGGUUUUAAAGCUCCUUCCUUUUACAUCCUCACUUUAUGGAAUAAUGGCCUGUGUGGUGCUUCAGGCAUUUCUUGAUUAAUACACCUGGAGUUUCCUUCUUUCUUUCCAGCUUGGACAGUAAUUACUUGGUAUGCAGCUCAGCCUGAGGUGAAGACUUUUGUAUGGAAAGAGGUGUGGAAGAGAUGCAGAGGGGCAUGGAGAAGACAGAUGAUGGAUGCAGUGGGAGGCCUGGAGGAAGUCCUGGGGCUGAUGGUGUGAGCAGUAGAGGAAGAGCUACCGAGAUGUAUUAUGAAAGCGUCAGAGUGACAGACAAACUGUCAAAUAAACUCAAAACCCCAAAUGGAAAGAGUUCAGAAAACAGCAUCAAGAAAAUUUCAGGCCUGUCUGUGGCUACAUGCCAACCAUGGGGGUUCAAGUUCAAGUCCUGA